This 254-nucleotide ribosomal RNA is filed under the name uncultured bacterium. RNAcentral describes it as "partial 16S ribosomal RNA". It matches the Rfam family "Bacterial small subunit ribosomal RNA", at positions 524 to 776 of the family's 1533-position model. The record is from RNAcentral.
UACAGAGGGUGCGAGCGUUAAUCGGAGUUACUGGGCGUAAAGGGCGCGUAGGCGGUUAUAUAAGAUGAGAUGUGAAAUCCCUGGGCUUAACCUAGGAACUGCAUCUCAUACUGUAUGACUGGAGUAUUGUAGAGGGUAGUGGAAUUUCCGGUGUAGCGGUGAAAUGCGUAGAGAUCGGAAGGAACACCAGUGGCGAAGGCGGCUACCUGGACAAAUACUGACGCUGAGGCGCGAGAGCGUGGGGAGCAAACAGG